GGAGAGAAGAGAACCAGCAAACUACAACAGUGAGCAGAUUAAAGGUCUUUUUUGGAAAAGAGAUGUUAUUGUCACGAUCGUUGGAAGCAUACUCGGACCAACGUGCAGUGUGAUCUGGGUUCCACAUCUUUUUUAUUUAAAGCCCAUCCCCCAUGACCAGCCAAGCGACGAAACAAGACCCCAGGACCAACCGUGUGACAUCCUGAAGCAAGGCCCCAAAGACCAGCAGUGCGACAUCCUGAAGCAAGGUCACUGGAGCAACCCAUUGGAAAGAUCAUUCCAUCAUCCAGUCUGUCCUAAAGUUGUCAGGGGCCUCAUUUCUUAUUGUUGUAUACGCAUAAAAUAUGCCCCAAAAUGUGCGUGCGCCAGUUCAUGCAAAAGUUAGCUUUUAUAAAAACUGAACUUGACCUGAGAAUGUGCUUCUCCUCCCGCAAACUUUAGACCAUGUGUUUGCAGUUUCUAGUGGUUGAAGUAUUGCUUGGUAAGAAGGCAAAAGUAGCCUAGUAGUAGCCUUGUCCUUGUGCAAAUUGGGAAUCUAUGAUGAUAAAAAUGUAAUAAACGGGUAGCUAAAUAUAAUAAGAUGCAAUCAUUGGCCAUUAGUGAAAAGAGUGAAAAUUGAAUUAUUUUAUCUGGGCUUAGCUAAAGACACGACAACAGUCAGCUCAGCUAUUCCCAUUGAGACUGUCUGUGCCUCAAUCUAGG
Long non-coding RNA from Oncorhynchus keta (chum salmon), 702 nucleotides. RefSeq lists it as uncharacterized. NCBI's taxonomy places the organism in Eukaryota, Metazoa, Chordata, Actinopteri, Salmoniformes, Salmonidae. The record is from RefSeq and is a predicted model, not a curated record. The transcript is spliced from 3 exons.